Molecule: ribosomal RNA, 2277 nt
Filed under: human metagenome
Description: bacterial LSU rRNA
Rfam family: Bacterial large subunit ribosomal RNA
Source: RNAcentral
UCAAGUGAAUAAGUGCACACGGUGGAUGCCUUGGCGACAACAGGCGAAGAAGGACGUGGAAAUCUGCGAAAAGCCCCGGGAAGCUGAUAACAAGCAAUGAUCCGGGGAUCUCCGAAUGGGGCAACCCGACCUUAGGGUCAUCCGUAGUUGAAUACAUAGACUGCGGAAGCGAACCGGGAGAACUGAAACAUCUAAGUACCCCGAGGAAAAGAAAUCAACCGAGAUUCCGCAAGUAGCGGCGAGCGAACGCGGAGAAGCCCAAUUAAGUUGCGUAUGAGCUAGUAGAACAUCCUGGGAAGGAUGGCCAUAGAGGGUGAUAGCCCCGUAUACGAAAGCCAUACACAAUGAAUCGAGUAGGGCGGGACACGUGAAAUCCUGUCUGAAGAUGGGGGGACCAUCCUCCAAGGCUAAAUACUCGUUGUCGACCGAUAGUGAACCAGUACCGUGAGGGAAAGGCGAAAAGAACCCUGGUGAAGGGAGUGAAAUAGAACCUGAAACCGUGUGCAUACAAGCAGUCAGAGCAUAUGAAGAUAUGUGAUGGCGUACCUUUUGUAUAAUGGGUCAGCGAGUUACAUUCAGUGGCGAGGUUAACCGAAUAGGGGAGCCGUAGCGAAAGCGAGUCUUAAUAGGGCGAUAAGUCUCUGGGUGUAGACCCGAAACCGGGCGAUCUAUCCAUGGGCAGGUUGAAGGUUGAGUAACAUCAACUGGAGGACCGAACCCACGCAUGUUGAAAAAUGCGGGGAUGACCUGUGGAUAGGAGUGAAAGGCUAAACAAGCUCGGAGAUAGCUGGUUCUCCCCGAAAACUAUUGAGGUAGUGCCUUGUAGAUUGACUUACGGGGGUAGAGCACUGUUUCGGCUAGGGGGUCAUACCGACUUACCAACCCGAUGCAAACUCCGAAUACCGUAAAGUUUUACUACAGGAGACACACGGCGGGUGCUAACGUCCGUCGUGAAGAGGGAAACAACCCAGACCGCCAGCUAAGGUCCCGAAAUGACAGUUCAGUGGGAAACGAAGUGGGAAGGCUUAGACAGCUAGGAGGUUGGCUUAGAAGCAGCCAUCCUUUAAAGAAAGCGUAAUAGCUCACUAGUCGAGUCGUCCUGCGCGGAAGAUUUACCGGGGCUAAACUGUCUACCGAAGCUGCGGAUUUGCAUGAAGAUGCAAGUGGUAGGGGAGCGUUGUGUAAGCCGAAGAAGGUGUGUUGAGAAGCAUGCUGGAGGUAUCACAAGUGCGAAUGCUGACAUGAGUAACGAUAAUGCGGGUGAAAAACCCGCACACCGAAAACCCAAGGUUUCCUGCGCAACGCUAAUCGGCGCAGGGUGAGUCGGCCCCUAAGGCGAGGCGGAAACGCGUAGUCGAUGGGAAACAGGUUAAUAUUCCUGUACUGAUCAUAAUUGCGAUGGGGGGACGGAGAAAGCUAGGCCAGCACACUGUUGGAUGUGUGUUUAAGCGCGUAGGUUGGGGAUUUAGGCAAAUCCGGGUUCCUAAGACUGAAACGUGAUGACGAGUUUCUACGGAAACGAAGUGGUUGAUGCUCUGCUUCCAGGAAAAGCCUCUAAGCUUCAGAUUAUGACAACCGUACCCCAAACCGACACAGGUGGGUAGGAAGAGAAUUCCAAGGUGCUUGAGAGAACUCGGGUAAAGGAACUCGGCAAAAUGAUACCGUAACUUCGGGAUAAGGUAUGCCUCUGAUGGUGAAUAGCUGUUGGAGGCCGCAGAGAAUAGGCCGCUGCGACUGUUUAUCAAAAACACAGCACUCUGCAAACACGCAAGUGGACGUAUAGGGUGUGACGCCUGCCCGGUGCCGGAAGGUUAAUUGAUGGGGUGCAAGCUCUUGAUCGAAGCCCCGGUAAACGGCGGCCGUAACUAUAACGGUCCUAAGGUAGCGAAAUUCCUUGUCGGGUAAGUUCCGACCUGCACGAAUGGCGUAACGAUGGCGGCGCUGUCUCUACCCGAGACUCAGUGAAGUUGAAAUCGCUGUGAAGAUGCAGUGUACCCGCGGCAAGACGGAAAGACCCCGUGAACCUUCACUACAGCUUGACACUGAACAUUGAAAUAAGUUGCAUAGGAUAGGUGGGAGGCUUUGAAGCAGAGACUCUGGUUUCUGUGGAGCCGACCUUGAAAUACCACCCUGCUUAUUUUGAUGUUCUAACGUAGACCCGUAAUCCGGGUUGCAGACAGUGUCUGGUGGGUAGUUUGACUGGGGCGGUCUCCUCCCAAAGAGUAACGGAGGAGUGCGAAGGUGGGCUCGGUGCGGUCGGAAAUCGCACCAAGAGUG